UAUAUCAGCACAGAGGGCCCGAGAGGAAAAAUACCCCAGGUCGGAAUUCAGCCUUGGCAACUCAGCAUCCGAUCUUGGUCUAUUGAGUUUGCAGGUUCCUAUAAAAGCCUGCCAUCUAGUAUCAAAAUUUUGUAGUUUUUCCUUAUUACUUAACUCAAGUCUGCCACCAACUUCCAAAGCAAAAAGUCGAAUUUAACAAGUGCUGUCUUAGCAGACAUUUCCGUCACAGUUUAUUUGCACAAGUUAAUAUGCUGAUUCGUAAACCUAGAGGUUCAUUUGGUCCAAUUGGUGCUGGACUUGUACUUCUCCUUGGUGCAGCCUCUGGAUCCUAUAUUUGGGGACCGAGCAUACAGAAUUACUUGAACACAGACCCAGAAAUUUUAGCAUAUAGAAAAAAAGCUAAGUUAGAAAGAGAGCUUGAAACAACAGCUCAGAAAACCAAAUAAUCUUAAAAACAAUCGUAGCCGCCAUUUUGCUUUCUUCUUUACCUAUCAGACGAAAGGGAUAUCUUGUUACAGUCUCUCACCAACAAGCAGGUAAUG
Molecule: long non-coding RNA, 542 nt
Organism: Daphnia magna
Lineage: Eukaryota; Metazoa; Arthropoda; Branchiopoda; Diplostraca; Daphniidae
Exons: 3
Source: RefSeq, a predicted model, not a curated record